AGCUGGAGAUAAGGCUGUGAUACAAGUCUGAGAUGUCCAGCCAGCAGCCAGGACGAUAGACAAGCUACCUACAACAAGAGGUCUCUCUCCUUCAAAGGGACAGGACUGGAGACACAUGUGGCUAUGACUGAGAGCUCCAGGCUUAUUCUAAACAGAGCUCCUUGGCCUGCGGACAAGGGGCAUGGGCGAAGAUGCCAGGUCAGGGUAGUGAGGGGCAUGCAGGCUGCUGAUGCACUUAGUGCCGCUGUAGUCAUCUCCAGUGUGUAAUGCACAGCAAUGACAAACAUCUCUCAUGCAAGAAACACUUCUGUAAAAUGUAAAUGUGUUCUGGAUAAAUCAUAAGUUAGGUCUGUGCCUGAAUAUCCUCUAGGAGUAUGCAGCAGCUACCCUUCAGACAGCUGCCAAGCUGAAGGAGCUCUGUGUGUUCAGCAUCCCUGCAACGCAAAACAAAAGAGGAGCUCAUCAUUCUCCUGGUGCUCUUGUUGUGAAGGACUACAUGCUGUGAGAACACACAGAACAGAAAAGGACCGAUAUUUUUCCAUAAAACCUGAUAAAACUUUCUGAAAAGGCAGUUUUUGAGAGACUUUUUUUUUMUUUUCCCCAAGAUGGAGACUCUACAGCAAUUGUGAUUAGACCUCCUCUUGUUAGCUACUUGCUCUUUGCUGAUUUGUAUGAACGGAUAAUAACAGAUAAUUCAGUCUGCUGUUGUGCUGCUGAGAGUGACUUGUCAAGAGGAAGAGUGA
This is a long non-coding RNA of Nothoprocta perdicaria, 743 nucleotides long. RefSeq lists it as uncharacterized. The transcript has 3 exons. NCBI's taxonomy places the organism in Eukaryota, Metazoa, Chordata, Aves, Tinamiformes, Tinamidae. The record is from RefSeq and is a predicted model, not a curated record.